UUCAUAACUUACACAUGCAAGUCUCCGCACACCCGUGAAAACGCCCUUUUAACCCCCGAGGAUUAAGGAGCCGAUAUCAGGCGUCAUAAAAAUACCCAAAACAUCUAGCCAUGCCACACCCCUAAGGGUACACAGCAGUGAUUAAUAUUAAAAAUUAACGUCAGUUUGAUUUAGCUAAUGAAAAUAGAGCCGGCCAACCUGGUGCCAGCCGCCGCGGUUAAACCACGCGGCUCAAAUUGAUAUCUACCGGCGUAAAGCGUGAUUAAAGACACCCUAUCACUGAGGUUAAACCCAAAUUAAGCUGUAAAAUACUUAUUUUCAGGAAACCCUAACCCGAAAGAUACCUCACCCACCCCUUGAAUUCACGACAACUAGGACAUAAACUGGGAUUAGAUACCCCACUAUACCUAGUCAUAAACUUUAACUUACACCCGCAUCGCCUGGGAACUACGAGCUAAGCUUAAAACCCAAAGGACUUGACGGUACCCCGCAUCCCUCUAGAGGAGCCUGUCCUAUAAUCGAUAACCCCCGUUUAACCUCACCACUUUUAGUCCAUCAGCCUGUAUACUUCCGUCGUCAGCUUACCACAUGAGUGGGAUAAGUAAGCUUAAUGUCCCCUUUUAUCAAUACGUCAGGUCAAAGUGCAGCAAAUAAAGUGGGAAGAGAUGGGCUACACUUUCUACAUUAGAAAAUACGAAAGAUCUUAUGAAAUAAUAUCAGAAGGCGGAUUUAGCAGUAAAGCGGGAAUAGAGUACCCCCUUUAAUUCGGCACCGGGGUGUGUACACACCGCCCGUCACCCUCUUCAAUAGACUUAAACUAGUAUAUAACAACUUAUCUUCGCUAGAAGAGGCAAGUCGUAACAUGGUAAGUAUACCGGAAGGUGUACUUGGAAA
Molecule: non-coding RNA, 894 nt
Filed under: Pristimantis sagittulus
Lineage: Eukaryota; Metazoa; Chordata; Amphibia; Anura; Strabomantidae
Description: partial 12S ribosomal RNA
Rfam family: Bacterial small subunit ribosomal RNA
Source: RNAcentral